Molecule: ribosomal RNA, 505 nt
Filed under: uncultured bacterium
Lineage: Bacteria
Description: bacterial SSU rRNA
Rfam family: Bacterial small subunit ribosomal RNA
Source: RNAcentral
AACGAACGCUGGCGGCGUGCUUAAGACAUGCAAGUCGAACGGUAAGGCUCCCUUCGGGGAGUACACGAGUGGCGCACGGGUGAGUAACGCGUGGGUAAUCUGCCUUCGGGUCCGGGACAACUUCGGGAAACUGGAGCUAAUACCGGAUAAGACCACGAGACCUUCGGGUCAUGUGGAAAAAGAUGGCCUCUCCUUGGAAGCUAUUGCCUGUCGACGAGCCCGCGUCCCAUUAGCUUGUUGGUGAGGUAACGGCUCACCAAGGCUCCGAUGGGUAGCUGGUCUGAGAGGAUGAUCAGCCACACUGGAACUGAGACACGGUCCAGACUCCUACGGGAGGCAGCAGUCGGGAAUUUUUGGGCAAUGGGGGCAACCCUGACCCAGCAACGCCGCGUGAGGGAUGAAGGCCUUCGGGUCGUAAACCUCUGUCGGGAGGGAAGAAAGGUCUUCGAGCGAAUAGGUCGAGGGCUUGACGGUACCUCCAAAGGAAGCGCCGGCUAACUCCGUG